This 253-nucleotide ribosomal RNA is filed under the name uncultured bacterium. RNAcentral's name for it is "partial 16S ribosomal RNA". It matches the Rfam family "Bacterial small subunit ribosomal RNA", at positions 524 to 776 of the family's 1533-position model. The record is from RNAcentral.
UACGGAGGGUGCAAGCGUUGAUCGGAAUUACUAGGCGUAAAGCGCGCGUAGGCGGUUUUUUAAGUCGGAUGUGAAAGCCCCGGGCUCAACCUGGGAACUGCAUCCGAUACUGGAAGACUAGAAUGCGGGAGAGGGAGGUAGAAUUCCAUGUGUAGCAGUGAAAUGCGUAGAUAUAUGGAGGAAUACCAGUGGCGAAGGCGGCCUCCUGGCUCGACAUUGACGCUGAGGUGCGAAAGCGUGGGGAGCAAACGGG